UUAAUUNGAAGCAACGCGAAGANCCNUNACCAANUCUUGACAUCNUCUGACCCCUCUAGAGAUAGAGUUUUCCCCUUCGGGGGACAGAGUGACAGGUGGUGCAUGGUNGUCGUCAGCUCGUGUCGUGAGAUGUUGGGUUAAGUCCCGCAACGAGCGCAACCCUUAAGCUUAGUUGCCAUCAUUAAGUUGGGCACUCUAAGUUGACUGCCGGUGACAAACCGGAGGAAGGUGGGGAUGACGUCAAAUCAUCAUGCCCCUUAUGAUUUGGGCUACACACGUGCUACAAUGGACAAUACAAAGGGUAGCGAAACCGCGAGGUCAAGCAAAUCCCAUAAAGUUGUUCUCAGUUCGGAUUGUAGUCUGCAACUCGACUAUAUGAAGCUGGAAUCGCUAGUAAUCGUAGAUCAGCAUGCUACGGUGAAUACGUUCCCGGGUCUUGUACACACCGCCCGUCACACCACGAGAGUUUGUAACACCCGAAGCCGGUGGAGUAACCAUUUG
This 501-nucleotide ribosomal RNA is filed under the name uncultured Staphylococcus sp. Its description in RNAcentral is "bacterial SSU rRNA". It matches the Rfam family "Bacterial small subunit ribosomal RNA", at positions 946 to 1445 of the family's 1533-position model. The record is from RNAcentral. Lineage: Bacteria; Bacillati; Bacillota; Bacilli; Caryophanales; Staphylococcaceae.